This 460-nucleotide ribosomal RNA is filed under the name uncultured bacterium. RNAcentral's name for it is "partial 16S ribosomal RNA". It matches the Rfam family "Bacterial small subunit ribosomal RNA", at positions 338 to 795 of the family's 1533-position model. The record is from RNAcentral.
CCUACGGGAGGCAGCAGUGAGGAAUAUUGGUCAAUGGGCGUAAGCCUGAACCAGCCAAGUCGCGUGAGGGAUGAAGGUUCUAUGGAUCGUAAACCUCGUUUAUAAGGGAAUAAAGGGUGGGACGUGUCCUAUUGUGUAUGUACCUUAUGAAUAAGGAUCGGCUAACUCCGUGCCAGCAGCCGCGGUAAUACGGAGGAUCCGAGCGUUAUCCGGAGUGAUUGGGUUUAAAGGGUGCGUAGGCGGCCGUUUAAUUCAGCGGUGAAAGUCUGUGGCUCAACCAUAGAAUUGCCGUUGAAAAUGGGGGGCUUGAGUAUGUUUGAGGCAGGCGGAAGGCGUGGUGUAGCGGUGAAAUGCUUAGAUAUCACGCAGAACCCCGAUUGCGAAGGCAGCCUGCCAAGCCAUGACUGACGCUGAUGCACGAAAGCGUGGGGAUCAAACAGGAUUAGAUACCCCUGUAGUC